RNAcentral lists this ribosomal RNA (301 nucleotides) under uncultured bacterium. RNAcentral's name for it is "partial 16S ribosomal RNA". It matches the Rfam family "Bacterial small subunit ribosomal RNA", at positions 509 to 808 of the family's 1533-position model. The record is from RNAcentral.
CAGUAGCCACGGUAAUACGGAGGGUGCGAGCGUUAAUCGGAAUUACUGGGCGUAAAGAGUGCGUAGGUGGUUAAUUAAGUUAUCUGUGAAAUUCCUGGGCUUAACCUGGGCAGGUCAGACAAUACUGGUUAACUCGAGUAUGGGAGAGGGUAGUGGAAUUUCCGGUGUAGCGGUGAAAUGCGUAGAGAUCGGAAGGAACACCAGUGGCGAAAGCAGCCCCCUGGGCCAAUACUGACGCUCAUGCACGAAAGCGUGGGAGCAAACAGGAUUAGAUACCCGAGUAGUCCCUGUCUCUUAUACA